This 446-nucleotide ribosomal RNA is filed under the name uncultured bacterium. RNAcentral's name for it is "partial 16S ribosomal RNA". It matches the Rfam family "Bacterial small subunit ribosomal RNA", at positions 338 to 795 of the family's 1533-position model. The record is from RNAcentral.
CCUACGGGCGGCUGCAGUCGAGAAUCAUUCACAAUGGGGGAAACCCUGAUGGUGCGACGCCGCGUGGGGGAAUGAAGGUCUUCGGAUUGUAAACCCCUGUCAUGUGGGAGCAAAUUAAAAAGAUAGUACCACAAGAGGAAGAGACGGCUAACUCUGUGCCAGCAGCCGCGGUAAUACAGAGGUCUCAAGCGUUGUUCGGAAUCACUGGGCGUAAGGCGUGCGUAGGCUGUUUCGUAAGUCGUGUGUGAAAGGCGCGGGCUCAACCCGCGGACGGCACAUGAUACUGCGAGACUAGAGUAAUGGAGGGGGAACCGGAAUGCUCGGUGUAGCAGUGAAAUGCGUAGAUAUCGAGAGGAACACUCGUGGCGAAGGCGGGUUCCUGGACAUUAACUGACGCUGAGGCACGAAGGCCAGGGGAGCGAAAGGGAUUAGAUACCCCGGUAGUC